UGGGGCGUCGUCCAAUGGUAGGACACCAGACUCUGGAUCUGGUUAUCGUGGUUCGACUCCAUGCGCCCCAGCCA
RNAcentral lists this transfer RNA (74 nucleotides) under Elusimicrobia bacterium RIFOXYB2_FULL_49_7. RNAcentral describes it as "tRNA-Gln". It matches the Rfam family "tRNA". From Rfam's summary of the family: Transfer RNA (tRNA) molecules are approximately 80 nucleotides in length. Lineage: Bacteria; Pseudomonadati; Elusimicrobiota. The record is from RNAcentral.